This 456-nucleotide ribosomal RNA is filed under the name Hohenbuehelia auriscalpium. RNAcentral describes it as "partial large subunit ribosomal RNA". It matches the Rfam family "Eukaryotic large subunit ribosomal RNA", at positions 86 to 542 of the family's 3401-position model. Lineage: Eukaryota; Fungi; Basidiomycota; Agaricomycetes; Agaricales; Pleurotaceae. The record is from RNAcentral.
ACUGCGAGUGAAGCGGGAAAAGCUCAAAUUUGUAAUCUGGCGGUCUUGGGCCGUCCGAAUUGUAAACUAGAGAAGCGUUAUCCGCGCUGGACCGUGUACAAGUCCCCUGGAAUGGGGCGUCAUAGAGGGUGAGAAUCCCGUCUUUGACACGGACUACCAGGGCUUUGUGAUGCGCUCUCAAAGAGUCGAGUUGUUUGGGAAUGCAGCUCAAAAUGGGUGGUAAAUUCCAUCUAAAGCUAAAUAUUGGCGAGAGACCGAUAGCGAACAAGUACCGUGAGGGAAAGAUGAAAAGAACUUUGGAAAGAGAGUUAAACAGUACGUGAAAUUGCUGAAAGGGAAACGCUUGAAGUCAGUCGCGUUGGCUAGGGAUCAUCCUUACUUUGGUGAGGUGUACUUCCUUGUUGACGGGUCAGCAUCAGUUUCGGUUGCUGGAUAAAGGCUGGGGGAAUGUGGCAC